CUACGGGCGGCACCAGUGAGGAAUAUUGCACAAUGGGGGGAACCCUGAUGCAGCAACGCCGCGUGGAGGAUGACGCAUUUCGGCGUGUAAACUCCUUUUAUAUGUCAAGAAAAUGACGGUAGCAUAUGAAUAAGCACCGGCUAACUCCGUGCCAGCAGCCGCGGUAAUACGGAGGGUGCAAGCGUUAUUCGGAAUCACUGGGCGUAAAGGACGCGUAGGCGGGAUAUCAAGUCAGGUGUGAAAUCCUACAGCUUAACUGUAGAACUGCACUUGAAACUGGUAACCUAGAGUAUGGGAGGGGGAGAUGGAAUUAGUGGUGUAGGGGUAAAAUCCGUAGAUAUCACUAGGAAUACCUAAAGCGAAGGCGAUCUCCUGGAACAUUACUGACGCUAAGGCGUGAAAGCGUGGGGAGCAAACAGGAUUAGAUACCCUAGUAGUC
Molecule: ribosomal RNA, 439 nt
Filed under: uncultured bacterium
Lineage: Bacteria
Description: partial 16S ribosomal RNA
Rfam family: Bacterial small subunit ribosomal RNA
Source: RNAcentral